This 384-nucleotide unclassified non-coding RNA is filed under the name fungal sp. RNAcentral describes it as "partial internal transcribed spacer region". Lineage: Eukaryota; Fungi. The record is from RNAcentral.
AAGUCGUAACAAGGUUUCCGUAGGUGAACCACGUAUCCAACGUUAAACCCCCUGUGAACCUUCAUUGUACGAGUUACCUCCACGUCAUAAACCGGCAAUCUCUGGUAAAUCAUCGCCGAACAGUUUUGAUUCAGAGACCUCUGGGAAGGGUGUACGGUAGUGCGAGGCAAUUGACCUGGCAUUCCUCUGCUUGUUAGUGUCUGAAAGUGUCACUAGCUAUGUACGGAUGGCGCAGUAACGAUCGCUGGAGGCCGACACGGCCGGCGACCAGGUCACUGGGCUACGGCCCCCCUGAUCACAACCUUUGCAUGAAAACGGGCCUGCGCUGAGGUGCGGCCACCCCUAAUGCUUGAACAACUGUUAACAAUGGAUAUCUUGGUUCUC